CUUUAUUACAUAGAUAUAGAUUUGCUUCAACACUCAGAGCCCCUGGAAAAGGCUUGAGCUUGUUAAAAUGGGUAUAUCUCGUGAUUCUAUGCACAAUAGGCGUGCCACUGGUGGCAAAAAGGAAGUAAUGUGCAAAACUCUUCACUAUUUGUUGUCCUUUGAUUUCUUUUUUAUCAUUUUUAUCUGGUUAGUUGCUUAGAAAGUUGAUUCAGAAUUAGUU
Long non-coding RNA from Hibiscus syriacus, 220 nucleotides. RefSeq lists it as uncharacterized. The record is from RefSeq and is a predicted model, not a curated record. NCBI's taxonomy places the organism in Eukaryota, Viridiplantae, Streptophyta, Magnoliopsida, Malvales, Malvaceae. The transcript is spliced from 2 exons.